UGGGGAAUAUUGCACAAUGGGCGCAAGCCUGAUGCAGCCAUGCCGCGUGUGUGAAGAAGGCCUUCGGGUUGUAAAGCACUUUCAGCGGGGAGGAAGGCGAUAAGGUUAAUAACCUUGUCGAUUGACGUUACCCGCAGAAGAAGCACCGGCUAACUCCGUGCCAGCAGCCGCGGUAAUACGGAGGGUGCAAGCGUUAAUCGGAAUUACUGGGCGUAAAGCGCACGCAGGCGGUCUGUCAAGUCGGAUGUGAAAUCCCCGGGCUCAACCUGGGAACUGCAUUCGAAACUGGCAGGCUAGAGUCUUGUAGAGGGGGGUAGAAUUCCAGGUGUAGCGGUGAAAUGCGUAGAGAUCUGGAGGAAUACCGGUGGCGAAGGCGGCCCCCUGGACAAAGACUGACGCUCAUGUGCGAAAGCGUGGGGAGCAAACAGG
Molecule: ribosomal RNA, 429 nt
Filed under: Chloroflexota bacterium
Lineage: Bacteria; Bacillati; Chloroflexota
Description: Chloroflexi bacterium partial 16S ribosomal RNA
Rfam family: Bacterial small subunit ribosomal RNA
Source: RNAcentral